RNAcentral lists this ribosomal RNA (276 nucleotides) under uncultured bacterium. RNAcentral's name for it is "partial 16S ribosomal RNA". It matches the Rfam family "Bacterial small subunit ribosomal RNA", at positions 72 to 339 of the family's 1533-position model. The record is from RNAcentral.
UGAUUUCUUCGGAAUGAAACCAGAUAUGACUUAGUGGCGGACGGGUGAGUAACGCGUGAGCAAUCUGCCUUCGGGUACGGGAUAACAACCGGAAACAGUUGCUAAUACCGUAUAAUGCAUCGACCCCGCAUGGGGAUGAUGCCAAAGAUUUAUUGCCCGGAGAUGAGCUCGCGUCCGAUUAGACAGUUGGCGGGGUAACGGCCCACCAAAUCAACGAUCGGUAGCCGGACUGAGAGGUUGAACGGCCACAUUGGAACUGAGAACGGUCCAGACUCC